GAGGAUCUAAACAUGACUCAACACAAGCACCGGAUAAUGAACGUUUACAAGGGAUAGAACCACAAGGGACAGGUUUGUAAGAUGAGCUAACGUAGUCAUCUUCACAGUCAACCCACAAGAAUCGUUGACCAAGAUCUACGGUUAAUUUGACAGGGACAAGAGGUGUUCUUUGGCGAAUGACACUGACGUAUUGUUUAGUGGCUGCAUCUUUGGUUACUGGAAGAAAAAAAGCUCGAGGUCGUGGAGGAGUGUUUUGGCUGUGGAGAGGGAGAAUAUAUAAGAGGAGCAAAGAAAGAAACAAAGAUAAAGCAUUAAUUGUGGAAACCAUUGUUAUUGAAAGUUGAGAACGAGUGAGUAAAAUUGAAGAGCUUCUUUAUAAUGAUGUAAAGCUUCUUUAAUUAAGUUUCAUUUAUGACAGAUGGCUAUUUUAUUUGUGAAGGGGCAAGACGAAAGCUGAAAGAAUGCAGAAAUAAUGUUAUUAAAUUCAUUUGUUCGAGUAUACAACUUGCCGUGUAAAAAUUCAAUGACUAUAUAUUAGAUAUCGCUGCCAGAUCUAUUUCGUCUAAAGGAAGAAAGAAAAGGAACGGUGGAAGCAUUAUUCUAUUCCGUCAGAAUGAA
This 618-nucleotide long non-coding RNA is filed under the name Nicotiana tabacum (common tobacco). RNAcentral's name for it is "long non-coding RNA (NTAB_LNC013546)". The record is from RNAcentral. Lineage: Eukaryota; Viridiplantae; Streptophyta; Magnoliopsida; Solanales; Solanaceae.